CCAAAAAUAUGGAAAUCUUGUCUAUUUCUUGUUGUGCCCUAGAGCAAAUUUUGUUGAGUUUGUUGUCACAUCAUUAUUUUCGGACUCUGUGAAAUUGCUAAUGAGGAACAGGCUGCUUUCAUUGGAGCAGUUGUGUGUGUUUAGGGCUGUGAUGAGACGUAUAUGGACCGGGGCUAAAUCACUGGCAGAGGGAAGGUUAAUGUUCUCCUUGAACUAAACAUCUACCACAGGUGGCAGUUGUCUCUAAAAUUGUUGCCAGGGAGCCCAAUUGUGUGAAGAUGGAGCUGGCUUCAGCUGCACUGAAUUUAGUUUCUGAGUGAGCAGUUAUAAACCAUGUAAUGGGGGGUGUGAGGCUCUUUUGGAUGGCUGAGGUAGGCAUGAACACUGCCCUGGAGGAAGAGAAUGCUAAGAACCCUUUGGCUUGAUCCUUAAGACUAUGAGUUGUUGCUUUAGAUGACCUUGGGAAUUUGUUCAUCAGAAUUGCCACAUAUUAGGAUUGCUCUCGGCCAGCAUGACAACCUGGGACCUCCGCCUGAGAAGUGUAUUGAGGGUAUCUUGGACAAGCUUCCAGUACUGACAUCUCUGCUGCAAUCCACAGCUUGGCCACAAUUGAUUGCUGUAGUUUCCAGACUCAUCCUGUGUUCAUCAUAGGAAACAAAACUACCAAGUUAUUUUAAAGUAAUAGCAUGGCAUUUGCAAGAAUCCCAAUUUUUCCAAAUAGCAUCUUGUGUGAACCACAAGAGAUGCAUCUUACAGGACCACAGUCUGCUCCAGCAAGUCUGGAGUAGCUCCACUGUCUUGAAUAGAAAAAUGAAAGGAUCCAGGAACUCAAUCUUUUUCCUGUUAAAGUCUUGGAUAGUUGCAUUAAAAUGGUGAAAGGGGAAAAACAAAUUUAUAGUUGAUGUGCAGAUUGAGGAUGUUAGGGAGAUGGAAGACUGAAAACCAUGUCCAUAGCCUGUCUCGUAGGCAGUGUAUUUUCCAGAGCUUAAGUGCCUGCUAUUAAGAAGUUGUCAUUCAGCAAUGGUUACCACAGUAUCAACAACUAAAAUGCCACAGCUGAUGUAGGAAAUAUAAUAACUAGUUUUCACAGGAGUUUCGGGGUAGGAAAUAUAUGUGCUGUCUCCAAAGACAGUCUUUUUAAUGCCUAUUUAUAUAGCAAGGUUCGUCUUCAUGCUGUUACUAGCUCCAGAUGUUACUUCCAGCAGGCCAUGGCAAAACAGAAUCCAAAGGAUAAAUGGGAAAGUAGGCAAAUGAAUUGAUAGAAGGCACUUUUGCAUAAACAGACUCAUUCAGGAGCAAGAUAGGCAUAUAUGGAGUCUUUAUUGUGGUUUUUAACUCAAAGAUGGAUACUUUUCUAAAUGUUCUGAUCCAACAUUUUUAGGCUUUUGUGUGGAGAAGUUCAGAUUUGUGUUGCCCUAAUUCAAUACUCAUAACGAUUCUUCUGACUGUGGAUGGUUACCCGCUUGUCAUUUUGGGGUAUGUUAGUGGCUAUGUAACAUGAGUUUCUUAAUAAAUCAGUUAAGCUGGAGUCA
RNAcentral lists this long non-coding RNA (1532 nucleotides) under Anas platyrhynchos platyrhynchos (common mallard). RNAcentral describes it as "lncRNA (ENSAPLG00000028779.1)". The record is from RNAcentral. Lineage: Eukaryota; Metazoa; Chordata; Aves; Anseriformes; Anatidae.